CCAGAAAUUAAGGAAGAUACAAUUCAUGGCUGGACCAAAAAUGAUUAAAAUGCACAGAUAAUCUCUGUACAUACUAUACAAUUAAUCACAGUGGCAGUGAUGCAUACUCCAGAUGUCUUAAUGCAAAUAGUCGUCCCCAAAUGCCAGUGCAGACUGGGACAAGACCAUGAUAAAGUUUUUACUGGUGUAUCACAAAGUGAGAAAAGUAAGAAGAAUAUAAUAGUUUGUUUGAAAAGAUUUGACACAAGUUACCGGUUUGAUUCUAAAGACUUAAAGUCUUCAGGGUUCCAAGAUGAUAUCACUGAAGCAGGGCUGGAAAGGGCUGCACCGCAGACUCCCAUCAGUAUUCCCACCACAGGCCUAAAUGGCAUGGAGAGCACUCAUAUGAAGGAAUGGAGAAGAAUUAGUAG
RNAcentral lists this long non-coding RNA (410 nucleotides) under Heterocephalus glaber (naked mole-rat). RNAcentral describes it as "lncRNA (ENSHGLG00100046964.1)". The record is from RNAcentral. Lineage: Eukaryota; Metazoa; Chordata; Mammalia; Rodentia; Bathyergidae.